GAUGCCCAACAUCGUGGUGCAGGACUUCAUGAAGAUCUGCGAACGGUACGCGGACGACCUGUGAUGACGUUCGAGCGAGCGGAGGCGUAGCGGAUAGCGCGUUUAAAGCACUCGCGGACGCUUCUUCACGCGGUCCAAGAGAAACAAACACCCUCUCGCGGUCCAAGCAAGAGAAACUUCCACGUACUCGCCCGGGUUCGCCACUUCGUCGCGCGCGAGGUGGCGAUGACGAAGUCCAAGGCGGGUAUCAAGGCUGAGCAGCGUGAGCUCACGCCGUUAAGUUUCAACGUGCGUCGCCAAAACCCCGUUCGCCCCGCCUGCUAGAGCGCGCCUGACCCCCAACGAUCCCAACGCCCCAACUCGCCAGGCUCUUUUCACCGUCAUCUUCCAGAUCCUUGACGAGCGCGGAGAGGGCAAGACCAUGUGACCCUCGGAGGCGCCUCGAAGCGAACGCUUCGAGAAGAUGAUGCGCGGCGUCGCGAACCACCCGUGGAGAGAGUACAUGGACGCCACGAGGGAGGUCGCGAGACGCGCGGCCGCGAUGGACCUCCUCGAGAUCACGCAGAAGGGCAAAGUCGUGGACCCGAGCUCGUUCAAGGGCCCGAUUCGCCUGCGACGGAAACGGUGGGGAGCUCUGUUGGACGAACGCUCGAGGCGCGAGUGCGCGUCGAGGUGGCGACGCGAGCGCGACGGAGAGGAGGGCGCGCGAGGGUGCCAGCGACGCGAGACGCCGAAGGUCGAUUCGGCGCCCGCGUCGAAGAGACGCAAGACGGAGGAGGUAGACGAGUCGACGCCUGAAGAUGCAUGAUUCGUUUCAACCGCAGUGACGACGGCGUCGGGGCAACCGCGCUCACCCGCGAGCGCGUCUCCGCCGUCCGAUACCGGAUCCGCGUCGUCGAUCGCGUCGCGCCGCGUCGACCGCGUCAGCGCCCGAUGGACGCGCGACGACGGUAGCGCACACGAGCCGGCGCGAUGAGCGCUAGUGGAUAGACUAACAACAUGUCUCACACGUGGCACCGCUCGCCCACCAGCCAGCUCUCGCCCCACGAACUCUGCGCGCCAGCCAGAUGCCGCCCGCUCGCAAAUAUUUUAUUCCUCUCCCGAGGGUGCCUCAGGUCCGUCGCGGUCACAGCGAGCCGCGCGAGCUGAAGCGCGCGCGCCGCCGACGGUGUCUCGAGGCGCGCUUUCAUCCGGGCGCACACGCGCGCGCGUCUCUCCCACCCCCGGCGAGCGAGGGUCGUUUGCCCCCGAGGACGGACGGGGGGCGAAAGCCUUUGAAACGCGAAUUUCGCACCCGAGCGCGCGACUCGCGAGGAGACG
This 1320-nucleotide long non-coding RNA is filed under the name Micromonas commoda. RNAcentral's name for it is "long non-coding RNA (MCOM_LNC000342)". The record is from RNAcentral. Lineage: Eukaryota; Viridiplantae; Chlorophyta; Mamiellophyceae; Mamiellales; Mamiellaceae.